CCUACGGGAGGCAGCAGUGGGGAAUAUUGGGCAAUGGGCGCAAGCCUGACCCAGCAACGCCGCGUGAAGGAAGAAGGCUCUCGGGUUGUAAACUUCUUUUAUCAGGGACGAAGCAAGUGACGGUACCUGAUGAAUAAGCCACGGCUAACUACGUGACAGCAGCCGCGGUAAUACGUAGGUGGCAAGCGUUCUCCGGAUUUACUGGGUGUAAAGGGCGAGUAGGCGGGAAAGCAAGUCAGAUGUGAAAACCCUGGGCUCAACCUGUGGCCUGCAUUUGAAACUGUUUUUCUUGAGUAGGGGAGAGGCAGACGGAAUUCCUGGUGUAGCGGUGAAAUGCGUAGAGAUUAGGAGGAACACCAGUGGCGAAGGCGGUCUGCUGGACAGCAACUGACGCUCAUGCACGAAAGUGUGGGUAUCGAACAGGAUUAGAUACCCGGGUAGUC
Molecule: ribosomal RNA, 443 nt
Filed under: uncultured bacterium
Lineage: Bacteria
Description: partial 16S ribosomal RNA
Rfam family: Bacterial small subunit ribosomal RNA
Source: RNAcentral